UACGGGGGGUCCUAGCGUUGUUCGGAAUCAUUGGGCGUAAAGCGUGUGCAGGUGGCUCUGCAAGUUGGAUGUGAAAGCCUUGGGCUUAACCCAAGAAGUGCAUUCAAAACUGCAAAGCUUGAAUAUGGAAGAGGGUCGUGGAAUUCCUGGUGUAGUGGUGAAAUACGUAGAUAUCAGGAGGAACACCGGUGGCGAAGGCGGCGACCUGGUCCAAUAUUGACACUCAUACACGAAAGCGUGGGGAUCAAACAGG
Molecule: ribosomal RNA, 253 nt
Filed under: uncultured bacterium
Lineage: Bacteria
Description: partial 16S ribosomal RNA
Rfam family: Bacterial small subunit ribosomal RNA
Source: RNAcentral